Long non-coding RNA from Juglans regia (Persian walnut), 347 nucleotides. RefSeq lists it as uncharacterized. The transcript has 3 exons. NCBI's taxonomy places the organism in Eukaryota, Viridiplantae, Streptophyta, Magnoliopsida, Fagales, Juglandaceae. The record is from RefSeq and is a predicted model, not a curated record.
GUUUGUGUGCUCUCUAGUUCCCUAAGCCGAACCCACCUCUCCUCUUCUCCAUUUUCAUGUUUUGGGAAGGAUUCACCAAAGGACCUACUGUGCAGUUGGAAGUGUCGAGGUACAUUGAGGUAUUGAUGGUGAGGCUGGGGAGUCGGGCACUACCGAGGAUGGAGGGGUCGAUGCUUAGUGUUCCCCUAUUGGUUCGACCCCUUUUGAUGAUGAUGAUUUAUGUUUUAGGAUGGGUCUUGUGUUGGGCCGUUUUGUUGAAUUAACUUUUAGACAAUGUAGCUUUUGGGUAUGAUGUAAUUUCUAUGGUGGGGAGAGGGUAACGGUGUAACUUCUAUGGUGGGGUUAUG